GAGAGAAGAAAGCAUAGAAGAAGAAAGGACGAGGAAAGAAGAGAAAAAAAAAAGUAAAAAAAAAAGACACUGAAAUAGAAAAACCCAAAUAGUAAUCCAGUAAGGUUGAGUUAAAAGAUUCAACUACGGUUUUUCACAGAGUCUUUACUCUUUCCCCUUGACUUCAAACCAUACAAUAGUAACAUUAUCUCAAAUCUUUGUACCUUCUUUCUUUGGUAAAUGCAGAACGUAAUAGAUCUCAGAUGUCCAAAACACAUGGUUUUUGGAUGCUAUGGCUCCUUUCAGCUGCAUUCUUCACAGUUUCAGGGAUGGUUCCACUUCUCUGUUAUCCUGCUAGAUCAUAUUUCUCAUCUCACAGAUGAGUACGUAAUAAACUCUCUUGAAGUAAAUUGAAAAGGUUGAUGGGGUAUAGGAUUCGGUCGAGGCCCAUAAACUUUGAUCUGACGCACAUGAGUAUCCCUUCCGUUAAGAUGAUUUGACAGCACAGCUAUUUGUAACAUAAAUGUAUUGACAAAAGUUUCCCUAGGAUCAUUUCCAGAUAAGGAUAGAUAAACCCAGCCAGUUGGCUUUAGAAGCUCCACAGUCUUGAUCUCCUUCAAGUUGUGAAAUCCAUCGCCAGCGUGAAUAGAGAUCUUACUGGGGGUAUAGCUCUCGUCAAGCUUGAAAUCCACAUAAAGCACAACCAAUUGUAGCUUUACUUUCUUCUGGAAUUGAAUGUUCACCAAAUGAGGCUGUGCACCAUCAGAUUGCCAAAAGGAAUCGAGAUUGUCAUCUCGUAGAGAGAAGACACCAUUGCCAGGUUUGCAAGAGCUGACACUCCAAGCAGCCUUUUUGCCCAUUUCUCUGAGGUCAUCGUCCACAAUCAGGUGCUGACUCCAUCCUGUAAUCUUCCCUUCUUCUUCUCCCUCCGAUGACUCUGUUGCCAUUUUCUAUUACACAAUGCAAAUGCAACUCUAAAAUUGUUUCAACCCACAGAUAAAGAAAAAAAAAAACACAUAUCACUUUUGAAAGUUGGGUUUUGUGAGUAGGACCUUCAAUCAAAUCCAAGUACUAGAGGGUCAUUCACAAAAUUUAGAUAAUAUAUUAACCAAUGUUUUCAAACCUGGACUAGAAUGUCCUGGCAAGUUCAACCGGAAAAACUGAGCCAUUAGCUGGUCUAGGUUACCACAAAAACCAGAAAAAUAGAAAAGCUCUCAAAACCAAGUCACUGGUCAAAUGGAUGAGGCGGGCUUUUUUUUUUCUAAUUAUUUGCACAAAAUGAUGUGUUUUAGUGACAUUGGCUAACUACACACUUGGCAGUUAAGAGUAAGGAGGAUUUUAUUUAAAUUUCAAAGGAAAAAAAAUUGACUGAACUAAUCAUUUUUUUUUUUGUUCAGUUUUAUUGUUAAUUGGUUCAGUUUUUAUUUAUAAUUUUUUCAUCACCACCACUAUUUGGCCACCGUUGCUAUUAACACCACUACUCCUACUGCCACCACAACCACCACCAUCUUACUACCAUCGUCACUAUCUCCAUCAAUUGACCACUAUUAUCACCUCUGCUACCACCUAGCCGCCGCCGCUGCCGCCGCCACCACUAGCUUACUUUGCUACCACCACCACCAUCACCAUCACUAUUAUUAAUCGAGCGACAACGGUGGCUAAGUAAUGGUGGUGGUGGCGACAA
RNAcentral lists this unclassified non-coding RNA (1663 nucleotides) under Hevea brasiliensis (rubber tree). The record is from RNAcentral. Lineage: Eukaryota; Viridiplantae; Streptophyta; Magnoliopsida; Malpighiales; Euphorbiaceae.